Molecule: ribosomal RNA, 730 nt
Filed under: uncultured bacterium
Lineage: Bacteria
Description: bacterial SSU rRNA
Rfam family: Bacterial small subunit ribosomal RNA
Source: RNAcentral
ACCGGCGCACGGGUGCGUAACGCGUAUGCAACCUACCCUAUACAGGAGGAUAGCCCGAGGAAACUCGGAUUAAUACUCCAUAGUAUUAUUGAUUCGCAUGGAUUAAUAAUUAAAGUUCCGGCGGUAUAGGAUGGGCAUGCGUGACAUUAGCUAGUUGGAGAGGUAACGGCUCACCAAGGCUACGAUGUCUAGGGGUCCUGAGAGGGUUCACCCCCACACUGGUACUGAGACACGGACCAGACUCCUACGGGAGGCAGCAGUGAGGAAUAUUGGUCAAUGGAGGCAACUCUGAACCAGCCAUGCCGCGUGCAGGAAGACGGCCCUAUGGGUUGUAAACUGCUUUUAUACAGGGCGAAUUCUGUUACGUGUAACAGGUUGACGGUACUGUAUGAAUAAGCACCGGCUAACUCCGUGCCAGCAGCCGCGGUAAUACGGAGGGUGCAAGCGUUAUCCGGAUUCAUUGGGUUUAAAGGGUGCGUAGGCGGCUUUAUAAGUCAGUGGUGAAAUUAACAGGCUCAACCUGUUGACUGCCAUUGAUACUGUAUGGCUUGAGUAUAAUCGACGCGGGAGGAAUGCGACAAGUAGCGGUGAAAUGCUUAGAUAUGUCGCAGAACACCGAUAGCGAAGGCAUCUCGCGAGGUUAUUACUGACGCUGAGGCACGAAAGCGUGGGGAUCAAACAGGAUUAGAUACCCUGGUAGUCCACGCCGUAAACGAUGAUAACUGGGUUU